GGAAGUUAAGAAACUGUUUCUUAACUUUUAACUAAAAAGGCUAAGAACCGGUUCUUAGCCUUUUUAGUUAAAAGUUAAGAAACAGUUUCUUAACUUCC
Brassica oleracea var. oleracea is the source of this 98-nucleotide microRNA precursor. It matches the Rfam family "MIR9563 microRNA precursor family". NCBI's taxonomy places the organism in Eukaryota, Viridiplantae, Streptophyta, Magnoliopsida, Brassicales, Brassicaceae. The record is from Rfam.